ACUACGGUGCUGAAGCAACAAAUGCCCUGCUUCCAGGAAAAGCCUCUAAGCAUCAGGUAACACGAAAUCGUACCCCAAACCGACACAGGUGGUCAGGUAGAGAAUACCAAGGCGCUUGAGAGAACUCGGGUGAAGGAACUAGGCAAAAUGGUGCCGUAACUUCGGGAGAAGGCACGCUGACACGUAGGUGAAGUGAUUUACUCAUGGAGCUGAAGUCAGUCGAAGAUACCAGCUGGCUGCAACUGUUUAUUAAAAACACAGCACUGUGCAAACACGAAAGUGGACGUAUACGGUGUGACGCCUGCCCGGUGCCGGAAGGUUAAUUGAUGGGGUCAGCGUAAGCGAAGCUCCUGAUCGAAGCCCCGGUAAACGGCGGCCGUAACUAUAACGGUCCUAAGGUAGCGAAAUUCCUUGUCGGGUAAGUUCCGACCUGCACGAAUGGCGUAAUGAUGGCCAGGCUGUCUCCACCCGAGACUCAGUGAAAUUGAACUCGCUGUGAAGAUGCAGUGUACCCGCGGCAAGACGGAAAGACCCCGUGAACCUUUACUAUAGCUUGACACUGAACAUUGAGCCUUGAUGUGUAGGAUAGGUGGGAGGCUUUGAAGUGUGGACGCCAGUCUGCAUGGAGCCGACCUUGAAAUACCACCCUUUAAUGUUUGAUGUUCUAACGUGGACCCGUAAUCCGGGUUGCGGACAGUGUCUGGUGGGUAGUUUGACUGGGGCGGUCUCCUCCUAAAGAGUAACGGAGGAGCACGAAGGUUGGCUAAUCCUGGUCGGACAUCAGGAGGUUAGUGCAAUGGCAUAAGCCAGCUUGACUGCGAGCGUGACGGCGCGAGCAGGUGCGAAAGCAGGUCAUAGUGAUCCGGUGGUUCUGAAUGGAAGGGCCAUCGCUCAACGGAUAAAAGGUACUCCGGGGAUAACAGGCUGAUACCGCCCAAGAGUUCAUAUCGACGGCGGUGUUUGGCACCUCGAUGUCGGCUCAUCACAUCCUGGGGCUGAAGUAGGUCCCAAGGGUAUGGCUGUUCGCCAUUUAAAGUGGUACGCGAGCUGGGUUUAGAACGUCGUGAGACAGUUCGGUCCCUAUCUGCCGUGGGCGCUGGAGAACUGAGGGGGGCUGCUCCUAGUACGAGAGGACCGGAGUGGACGCAUCACUGGUGUUCGGGUUGUCAUGCCAAUGGCACUGCCCGGUAGCUAAAUGCGGAAGAGAUAAGUGCUGAAAGCAUCUAAGCACGAAACUUGCCCCGAGAUGAGUUCUCCCUGAG
Molecule: ribosomal RNA, 1262 nt
Filed under: Salmonella enterica subsp. enterica serovar Typhimurium
Lineage: Bacteria; Pseudomonadati; Pseudomonadota; Gammaproteobacteria; Enterobacterales; Enterobacteriaceae
Description: partial 23S ribosomal RNA
Rfam family: Bacterial large subunit ribosomal RNA
Source: RNAcentral